RNAcentral lists this ribosomal RNA (840 nucleotides) under Marinococcus sp. YXWBB13. RNAcentral's name for it is "bacterial SSU rRNA". It matches the Rfam family "Bacterial small subunit ribosomal RNA", at positions 372 to 1204 of the family's 1533-position model. The record is from RNAcentral. Lineage: Bacteria; Bacillati; Bacillota; Bacilli; Caryophanales; Bacillaceae.
UGGGCGAGCCUGACGGUGCAACGCCGCGUGAGUGAUGAAGGUUUUCGGAUCGUAAAGCUCUGUUGACAGGGAAGAACCCACGUCAGUCGAACAGGCUGGCGUGCUGACGGUACCUGUCCAGAAAGCCCCGGCUAACUACGUGCCAGCAGCCGCGGUAAUACGUAGGGGGCAAGCGUUGUCCGGAAUUAUUGGGCGUAAAGGGCACGCAGGCGGUUUCGUCAGUCCGAUGUGACAGGCCACGGCUCAACCGUGGAAGGCCAUUGGAAACUGCGAAACUUGAGGACAGAAGAGGAGAGUGGAAUUCCACGUGUAGCGGUGAAAUGCGUAGAUAUGUGGAGGAACACCAGUGGCGAAGGCGACUCUCUGGUCUGUACCUGACGCUGAGGUGCGAAAGCAUGGGGAGCAAACAGGAUUAGAUACCCUGGUAGUCCAUGCCGUAAACGCUGAGUGCUAGGUGUUAGGGGUUUCGAUACCCGUAGUGCCGAAGCUAACGCAUUAAGCACUCCGCCUGGGGAGUACGACCGCAAGGUUGAAACUCAAAGGAAUUGACGGGGGCCCGCACAAGCGGUGGAGCAUGUGGUUUAAUUCGACGCAACGCGAAGAACCUUACCAGAUCUUGACAUCUUCCGCUACGCCUCGAGAGAGGCGGUUCCCCUUCGGGGGACGGAAUGACAGGUGGUGCAUGGUUGUCGUCAGCUCGUGUCGUGAGAUGUUGGGUUAAGUCCCGCAACGAGCGCAACCCCUAAUCUUAGUUGCCAGCAUUCAGUUGGGCACUCUAAGGUGACUGCCGGUGACAAACCGGAGGAAGGUGGGGAUGACGUCAAAUCAUCAUGCCCCUUA